This 286-nucleotide ribosomal RNA is filed under the name uncultured Bacillota bacterium. RNAcentral describes it as "uncultured Firmicutes bacterium partial 16S ribosomal RNA". It matches the Rfam family "Bacterial small subunit ribosomal RNA", at positions 120 to 390 of the family's 1533-position model. Lineage: Bacteria; Bacillati; Bacillota. The record is from RNAcentral.
AGUAAUCUGCCCCUAAGUCUGGAAUAACCUUGCCAACGCGGGGAUAAUACCGGAUGUGAUCACGAGGUCGCAUGGCCAUGUGAUUAAAGAUGACCUCUACCUGUAAGUUAUCGCUUGGGGAUGAGCUUGCGCACCAUUAGCUUGUUGGUGAGGUAACGGCUCACCAAGGCUGCGAUGGUUAGCCGGCCUGAGAGGGUGACCGGCCACAUUGGGACUGAGAUACGGCCCAGACUCCUACGGGAGGCAGCAGUAGGGAAUUUUGCGCAAUGGGCGAAAGCCUGACGCA